CGUCGAAGAAACCGACACCGACACUGACGACGAUAAAGUCGAAUGUGUAUAGUAUUUUUAAAGCUUUUAAGACUUUGCUUUUGUAUUUAUUCUUGAAUUUUAACUUACAUAUGUUUGUAAUUGCGCCGUUUUCUUUUGCCUGUGCAUCGUACUUCGUUCACUCGUACAAGAUAAAAUGAAAUAAAACUCAAAUAUUGUCAAGGUGCGGCUGCAGACAUACUUAUUUAGGUGUAGGAGGCAGCUGUAGUAGUAGUAAUACAUAUUAUUAGCAGGCGUAGACGCAUCAACCAUGUCAAUAACCCGGAAAGAAAAAUGUAAUUAAAGGAAGCAAAGUCUCGAAGUUCACAUACACACAAACAACGACACUUGGGCGCUCUCCCACUCUCAAACAGCACACUCAAGCACGUUCACUGUUCAUUCAGACUAGAAAACCCAUAUGCGCUCUAAAAAUCCUCUGGAUAUUACUUUUCCAUUCAAUCGAAUGCAGCCAGGCGUUGGAAGAGUUGACGUAAUCAACCGAUGAGGCGAAUUACUCGGAAAGUUAAUAAGCGGCAAUGAACGAACAAAUAAUCAACGUAAAAGUUCUUCGAUGAGUUGUAUAAAGCUGAAUUCUGUCGAGAAGAACAGCGAUGAGUGGAUGAAAGCGAGAACACUUUGAAGGUGAUGACUGGCGAGUAACUUAUGGGGAACGAGGAAUGACUGGCUAUAAGUAUGAAAACAAAAGCAAAAAUACAAACAAUUCGAUAAAAACCCCACGAUUGACGCAGUUUAAUAAGAAUUUACAACAACGCCAGCCACAAGAACAAAAAUAAAUAAAAUUGCAUCAGUAAAACGCUAAUAUUGUCGGCAAUGACAACAUCGCAAAAUAAAUAAAUAUACAUACUUACACGAUAUGUCCAUACGUAAACAUGUAUAUAUGUAUCAAUACACAAAUGUAUAUAGCUAGUAUAUAGUGUACAAUGCUAGUACCGAUACUACAUACUUAUGUAUAAAUGAGAGAAAAGUCGACAGGUUAAGGAAUGCUAUACAAAAAUCGAGAGACGCGACUUUUUCGUCGUAUGGCUUUAUUUAUAUUGCAAGACCGAGACUAUUGAAAUUCACUGAUUGAGCGAUCGGGAAGAUUGUGUAAGGUCUGCUAUACAUAUUCUUAUAUUUGGUCACUCGAAGAGGUAUUUUUCCUCGGAGAAGAGAUUCAAAGUACCUCCCCUCAAUCUCGGCAGAGAAAAAGUGGGUACUUUUGUUUUCCUGGCC
Rhagoletis pomonella (apple maggot) is the source of this 1251-nucleotide long non-coding RNA. RefSeq lists it as uncharacterized. The transcript has 3 exons. The record is from RefSeq and is a predicted model, not a curated record. Lineage: Eukaryota; Metazoa; Arthropoda; Insecta; Diptera; Tephritidae.